RNAcentral lists this ribosomal RNA (279 nucleotides) under uncultured bacterium. Its description in RNAcentral is "partial 16S ribosomal RNA". It matches the Rfam family "Bacterial small subunit ribosomal RNA", at positions 506 to 784 of the family's 1533-position model. The record is from RNAcentral.
UGCCAGCCGCCGCGGUAAUACGUAGGUGGCAAGCGUUAUUCGGAUUUAUUGGGCGUAAAGGGUCCGUAGGGGGGUUGUUAAGUCUGAUGUGAAAGCCCGCGGCUCAACCGCGGAAUUGCAUUGGAAACUGGCGACCUAGAGCAUAGGAGAGGUGAGUGGAAUUCCUGGUGUAGCGGUGGAAUGCGUAGAUAUCAGGAGGAACACCGGAGGCGAAGGCAGCUCACUGGACUAUUGCUGACCCUGAGGGACGAAAGCUAGGGGAGCGAACAGGAUUAGAUA